AGACGUCUACAUUAGAUACCCCUGUAGUCCCAGCCGUAAACUAUGCGCGUUAGGUGUAUCGGUGACCACGAGUUACCGAGGUGCCGAAGGGAAACCGUGAAACGUGCCGCCUGGGAAGUACGGUCGCAAGGCUGAAACUUAAAGGAAUUGGCGGGGAGCACCACAACAGGUGGAGCCUGCGGUUUAAUUGGACUCAACGCCGGGAAGCUCACCGGAUAGGACAGCAGAAUGAUUGCCGGGCUGAAGACUCUGCAUGACUAGCUG
RNAcentral lists this ribosomal RNA (264 nucleotides) under uncultured archaeon. RNAcentral describes it as "partial 16S ribosomal RNA". It matches the Rfam family "Archaeal small subunit ribosomal RNA", at positions 714 to 982 of the family's 1478-position model. The record is from RNAcentral.